Molecule: ribosomal RNA, 1490 nt
Filed under: Weissella confusa
Lineage: Bacteria; Bacillati; Bacillota; Bacilli; Lactobacillales; Lactobacillaceae
Description: bacterial SSU rRNA
Rfam family: Bacterial small subunit ribosomal RNA
Source: RNAcentral
AAGGUGGGGGGGGGGUGCUAAUACAUGCAAGUCGAACGCUUUGUGGUUCAACUGAUUUGAAGAGCUUGCUCAGAUAUGACGAUGGACAUUGCAAAGAGUGGCGAACGGGUGAGUAACACGUGGGAAACCUACCUCUUAGCAGGGGAUAACAUUUGGAAACAGAUGCUAAUACCGUAUAACAAUGACAACCGCAUGGUUGUUAUUUAAAAGAUGGUUCUGCUAUCACUAAGAGAUGGUCCCGCGGUGCAUUAGCUGGUUGGUAAGGUAAUGGCUUACCAAGGCGAUGAUGCAUAGCCGAGUUGAGAGACUGAUCGGCCACAAUGGGACUGAGACACGGCCCAUACUCCUACGGGAGGCAGCAGUAGGGAAUCUUCCACAAUGGGCGAAAGCCUGAUGGAGCAACGCCGCGUGUGUGAUGAAGGGUUUCGGCUCGUAAAACACUGUUGUAAGAGAAGAAUGACAUUGAGAGUAACUGUUCAAUGUGUGACGGUAUCUUACCAGAAAGGAACGGCUAAAUACGUGCCAGCAGCCGCGGUAAUACGUAUGUUCCAAGCGUUAUCCGGAUUUAUUGGGCGUAAAGCGAGCGCAGACGGUUAUUUAAGUCUGAAGUGAAAGCCCUCAGCUCAACUGAGGAAUUGCUUUGGAAACUGGAUGACUUGAGUGCAGUAGAGGAAAGUGGAACUCCAUGUGUAGCGGUGAAAUGCGUAGAUAUAUGGAAGAACACCAGUGGCGAAGGCGGCUUUCUGGACUGUAACUGACGUUGAGGCUCGAAAGUGUGGGUAGCAAACAGGAUUAGAUACCCUGGUAGUCCACACCGUAAACGAUGAGUGCUAGGUGUUUGAGGGUUUCCGCCCUUAAGUGCCGCAGCUAACGCAUUAAGCACUCCGCCUGGGGAGUACGACCGCAAGGUUGAAACUCAAAGGAAUUGACGGGGACCCGCACAAGCGGUGGAGCAUGUGGUUUAAUUCGAAGCAACGCGAAGAACCUUACCAGGUCUUGACAUCCCUUGACAACUCCAGAGAUGGAGCGUUCCCUUCGGGGACAAGGUGACAGGUGGUGCAUGGUUGUCGUCAGCUCGUGUCGUGAGAUGUUGGGUUAAGUCCCGCAACGAGCGCAACCCUUAUUACUAGUUGCCAGCAUUCAGUUGGGCACUCUAGUGAGACUGCCGGUGACAAACCGGAGGAAGGUGGGGAUGACGUCAAAUCAUCAUGCCCCUUAUGACCUGGGCUACACACGUGCUACAAUGGCGUAUACAACGAGUUGCCAACCCGCGAGGGUGAGCUAAUCUCUUAAAGUACGUCUCAGUUCGGAUUGUAGGCUGCAACUCGCCUACAUGAAGUCGGAAUCGCUAGUAAUCGCGGAUCAGCACGCCGCGGUGAAUACGUUCCCGGGUCUUGUACACACCGCCCGUCACACCAUGAGAGUUUGUAACACCCAAAGCCGGUGGGGUAACCUUCGGGAGCCAGCCGUCUAAGGUGGACCAGAAGAUG